This 379-nucleotide ribosomal RNA is filed under the name uncultured eukaryote. RNAcentral's name for it is "partial 18S ribosomal RNA". It matches the Rfam family "Eukaryotic small subunit ribosomal RNA", at positions 592 to 976 of the family's 1831-position model. The record is from RNAcentral.
CAAUGGCGUAUAUUAAAGUUGUUGCGGUUAAAAAGCUCGUAGUUGGAUUUCUGCUGAGAACGACCGGUCCGCCCUUUGGGUGUGUAUCUGGCUCUUUCUUGGCAUCUUCUUGGUGAACGUUGCUGCACUUGACUGUGUGGAGCGCUACCCAGGACUUUUACUUUGAGGAAAUUAGAGUGUUUCAAGCAGGCAUACGCCUUGAAUACAUUAGCAUGGAAUAAUAAGAUAGGACUUUGGUACUAUUUUGUUGGUUUGCGCACCAAAGUAAUGAUUAAUAGGGACAGUUGGGGGUAUUCGUAUUCCGUUGUCAGAGGUGAAAUUCUUGGAUUUACGGAAGACGAACUACUGCGAAAGCAUUUACCAAGGAUGUUUNCAUUAA